UUGUCCUCUCGCGAGAAUUUGACUUAACGCGAGAAAAAGCUAAUGUUUCUUAAAGAGCUACCGGUUUUGAAAAUAUUUAAAGGCAAUGCUUGCAGGAAAAACACAGACCUUCAAGCUCACCUUUCCUGCUUUUUUAAGGCAGAACCUUUACCGGUCGCCGUGGGUCCGGAUGGCUCCUAGGCUUCUGUGUGAUUGCUGGAGAUAGGGCAUCCGUGCGGAAAGCGUCUUUGCCUUUGGAAACAUCUCGGAUGCUCCACACGCUUUGCCCUCAUCUUGAGACUUCUAAAGUCUGUGGUCACAAGAAAUCUGCUAGCAGUAACCAGGGGAGUUCCCUCCUUGUCUGUGCACACCUUUGUAAUCUGGAAGCCACCAUGGCAAGGUAUAUUAAGAUCUGAGAAGGAGCAUCAAGAAUAGAUAAGAAGACCCCCACCGGGAAGAUGCUUGGCGGGCAGGAAGCGGUUUCCCUUACUGGCGUCUUUGUUCUGUCUAGUGAACUACACAUCAGGUGCGCUGUGAGAGUCCAGAAGAAAAGCCAGUGGUUUAAAAGUGGAGAAACUGGGCAAAGAUAUGCGUCUUGGUGACUGGAACUACGGAUACAGGCAGAAGGAAUUCUAAACUGGGAACAGUACUUGAAGUACAGUGUCACCACCCGAGCCACCAAGGAUAAGCUAUUCUCUCCUCCAGCACAAACAUCACCCUGCAAAUCACCCCCAUCAACAAAAAUGCUUUUGUUUUCCAGCAGACCUCUUAUAUGGCCCAAGAGAAUGGGAAUGCCUGCUCAAAGCCUCCAUUGCACACUUUAGUGCUUCUUACCCAGAUGCGGGGCCCUAUGUGCCUAUUUCUUCCUGACCAGCAACCCAGUACCGUGUGCAUCAUCAUCCAUUGUGUCUUAGUGCAGAGCACGAUGAUGUUCACUGCAGGCUCCUUGUGAUGGUGGGCCACCACAAUGAAAAUGCACAGGCAGCACUGUGCCAGGAGCUGCAGCCAGAAAUCAUGCCCUCUUGGAUGUGGCACCAUGUACAGUGCAACUGGCUACCUGGUCACUAAGGUGGACGUCAAGUGAAGAGCCUUGCCUGGCUAUCCUAUUACAUGCUUCAGACCAGCUAAUAUGAUUCUUCAACCUGGGGAGGCACAAGAGUGAGAUUAGCACUCCGGUCCUGUGAGCAGCAGAGACGCUGCUCUAUAGGGCUUGCUGGUCACUGCACAUAAUACCAACAGUCAUCAUCCUACAGCUAGUCUUUGCCUACAGUUUAGAGGAAUUGCUUCCAGAACCCAGCAAUGGCCCGGUACCUGCUGGCAGGCAGACAGAGCCACAGUUUUACCUGGUUGUGGCCUUGUCCUUUGUAUCCAUGCUCUUCUCCUCACAGUGACUUUGGCCAUCACCCUGGUCCUGUGAGGCUCCGCCAGCCCUACUUUCAGUCUGGUCUUUGGUCCAAGCCUAGAUUUGGAGUCGCUUUUACUUCAGCAAGUGAGAUUUGCCCUAUUUCUGCAGUCCUUUUGUGGCUUCGGAUAUUUUGCUAAAUUUUAAUUUUAUUUCUUUCACUCAAGAAACAUCUUUUAAGUGUAUGUUCUCUUUGGUGCCUGCACUGCAACCUUCAAUAUUACAUUGGAUUGAAAUAUCUACCUGUGAGUUUUAACACUUUUAUUUUGUAAAUAUCCUGUUCUAAAUCAACUCUGCUUGUUUUUUUUGCUGUUGUUGGAGGAAGAGAAGCUCUACAAAUUCACUUUCUAGUUGCUGUGUGUUUUUAAAUUUCUUUCAUUUGUCCAGACAGUCGUGUUGGUGAAAAGUUUGUGCCUAUUAGUGCACAUUCUAAAAACUUACAUUUUCUGGUAAAAAAAGCCCUCUCCUUGCAUUAGUUAAAGAGGUUCACUGAAUAUUUAAGUUACUGCCUUUGGACUCCAUAUGCUUGUUUUGAGAAGCUGAGAAACCAUACAUUUGGUUAUACAGGAAUGAAUAUUCUCUUUCCAAAAACUAUUCUUGUGACCUUUGUUUCCUUUAUUGCUUUAUUUUCUCUACUCUUUUCAGUCAUAUCCAUAGGUUGACUGCCAGUAUCUGGCCCAAUUUGUUCCUAAAAUGUUAACCUCUGGGAUGCAGAGAACAUUCUUCCCUAACUUUUGGGUAAAGAUAAAUCACUCAAAGCCUCAAGGCAUUUUACUUAGUAAACUUUUACUAAUUUUGCAAUGAGUAAAAGAAGGAAGGCAAUCUACUUUAA
This is a long non-coding RNA of Neogale vison (American mink), 2213 nucleotides long. RefSeq lists it as uncharacterized. Lineage: Eukaryota; Metazoa; Chordata; Mammalia; Carnivora; Mustelidae. The transcript is spliced from 4 exons. The record is from RefSeq and is a predicted model, not a curated record.